This is a long non-coding RNA of Sceloporus undulatus (fence lizard), 1023 nucleotides long. RefSeq lists it as uncharacterized. Lineage: Eukaryota; Metazoa; Chordata; Lepidosauria; Squamata; Phrynosomatidae. The transcript is spliced from 3 exons. The record is from RefSeq and is a predicted model, not a curated record.
GCAGCGAUGGGUCCUACCUCCCACUUCAUCACCCCUCCAAAAAAAGUUGGUGAGAGGGAAGCAGACAACAGACUAGUUACUCAAAUAGAACGGAUGAAUUAACCUGUCCCUCAGCAACCAGAAAAACGACCUGGAAAUUGACAUUCUGAACUCUGCAGACCUUGCCUGAGGCAUCAUUCCUGAAAGGAAACCAGUCUGCUACGGAAGAUUGAUUGAAGAGAUGUAGAAAUCCAUUCACCUUCAUGCAGAGCCGUUCCACCUCCCAAGGAUGCCACCCAGUCGUCCUGUGCCUUCUUCAGUUUUCUACAAGGAGGUGUUUGGAAAAAAUCACACUCUUCUUGUUCCUUAAAGAAUCCAUAUGCACUCCUUACAUGAGCAUCCAGCAAAUAGAUGGGGAAGGGCACUAGAAAAGCAGCGGCUACAUUUUGGAAUGGCAAAAAAAGGAGAGUCCCUAAGGUUUCACUUCACUCAUCCCUGGAUAAAGGCUAUCAACGGCUCCAAGUUAUACCUCUAGGAGGAAGGAAAAUGAAUGCAUACCUGCCAGCUUUUCAUAGAUAAAAAUUGUGGCACAUGUAACCAAGCAACAUCAGAUUGUGGUCAAGACGAAAAACAUUCUUAAUGAGGAAGAACACACAAUCCAGGAGAGGCUGCAGCAGUUUGCUUUGGCCCAAGGCUGCUGGGAAGGGAAAGUUUACGCUUCAUCCUCUCCCUCCACCUCCAUUGAGAUAAUGGAGUGCAAACUUCUUCUGCAGUUUGGACUCAAUUUGAAGCAAUUGAAGCAAGCAGGGAAAAUAGAAGAGGUAGACCCAAAGUGGGCUAUGUUUAAAUCAUAUAAGAAGGUGAGUUAAUAAAGAUUGACUCUGCCAGUUCUGGAAGCUACGCGAAUGGCGCAGCAAUAAAUUUUCUCCUAAAGUUAAAUUCAAACCCAAAUUGUGUUUUCCCUCUUGGAGCCACAACAUCUACAUUGCUUGGAAGGAGUCUUCAUGUUGAUUUUGAGUAACAAAGCGCUCAGCAGGCUGGGAA